AUUGAACGCUGGCGGCAGGCCUAACACAUGCAAGUCGAACGGUAACAGGAAACAGCUUGCUGUUUCGCUGACGAGUGGCGGACGGGUGAGUAAUGUCUGGGAAACUGCCUGAUGGAGGGGGAUAACUACUGGAAACGGUAGCUAAUACCGCAUAGCGUCGCAAGACCAAAGAGGGGGACCUUCGGGCCUCUUGCCAUCGGAUGUGCCCAGAUGGGAUUAGCUAGUAGGUGGGGUAACGGCUCACCUAGGCGACGAUCCCUAGCUGGUCUGAGAGGAUGACCAGCCACACUGGAACUGAGACACGGUCCAGACUCCUACGGGAGGCAGCAGUGGGGAAUAUUGCACAAUGGGCGCAAGCCUGAUGCAGCCAUGCCGCGUGUAUGAAGAAGGCCUUCGGGUUGUAAAGUACUUUCAGCGGGGAGGAAGGGAGUAAAGUUAAUACCUUUGCUCAUUGACGUUACCCGCAGAAGAAGCACCGGCUAACUCCGUG
Molecule: ribosomal RNA, 490 nt
Filed under: uncultured bacterium
Lineage: Bacteria
Description: partial 16S ribosomal RNA
Rfam family: Bacterial small subunit ribosomal RNA
Source: RNAcentral